Molecule: ribosomal RNA, 200 nt
Filed under: uncultured bacterium
Lineage: Bacteria
Description: partial 16S ribosomal RNA
Rfam family: Bacterial small subunit ribosomal RNA
Source: RNAcentral
AACGAACGCUGGCGGCAGGCUUAACACAUGCAAGUCGAGCGCCCCGCAAGGGGAGCGGCAGACGAGUGAGUAACGCGUGGGAAUCUACCCUUGACUACGGAAUAACGCAGGGAAACUUGUGCUAAUACCGUAUGUGUCCUUCGGAGAAAGAUUAUCGGUCAAGGAUGAGCCGCGUAAGAUUAGCUAGUUGGUGGGGUAAU